ACUGCAGUCGAGCGGAAGAUGGGAGCUUGCUCCCUGAUGUUAGCGGCGGACGGGUGAGUAACACGUGGGUAACCUGCCUGUAAGACUGGGAUAACUCCGGGAAACCGGGGCUAAUACCGGAUGGUUGUUUGAACCGCAUGGUUCAGACAUAAAAGGUGGCUUCGGCUACCACUUACAGAUGGACCCGCGGCGCAUUAGCUAGUUGGUGAGGUAACGGCUCACCAAGGCGACGAUGCGUAGCCGACCUGAGAGGGUGAUCGGCCACACUGGGACUGAGACACGGCCCAGACUCCUACGGGAGGCAGCAGUAGGGAAUCUUCCGCAAUGGACGAAAGUCUGACGGAGCAACGCCGCGUGAGUGAUGAAGGUUUUCGGAUCGUAAAGCUCUGUUGUUAGGGAAGAACAAGUGCCGUUCAAAUAGGGCGGCACCUUGACGGUACCUAACCAGAAAGCCACGGCUAACUACGUGCCAGCAGCCGCGGUAAUACGUAGGUGGCAAGCGUUGUCCGGAAUUAUUGGGCGUAAAGGGCUCGCAGGCGGUUUCUUAAGUCUGAUGUGAAAGCCCCCGGCUCAACCGGGGAGGGUCAUUGGAAACUGGGGAACUUGAGUGCAGAAGAGGAGAGUGGAAUUCCACGUGUAGCGGUGAAAUGCGUAGAGAUGUGGAGGAACACCAGUGGCGAAGGCGACUCUCUGGUCUGUAACUGACGCUGAGGAGCGAAAGCGUGGGGAGCGAACAGGAUUAGAUACCCUGGUAGUCCACGCCGUAAACGAUGAGUGCUAAGUGUUAGGGGGUUUCCGCCCCUUAGUGCUGCAGCUAACGCAUUAAGCACUCCGCCUGGGGAGUACGGUCGCAAGACUGAAACUCAAAGGAAUUGACGGGGGCCCGCACAAGCGGUGGAGCAUGUGGUUUAAUUCGAAGCAACGCGAAGAAACUUACCAGGUCUUGACAUCCUCUGACCAUCCUAGAGAUAGGACGUCCCCUUCGGGGGCACAGAGACAAGUGGUGCAUGGUUGUCGUCACCUCGUGUCGCGAGAUGU
This 1038-nucleotide ribosomal RNA is filed under the name Bacillus subtilis. Its description in RNAcentral is "bacterial SSU rRNA". It matches the Rfam family "Bacterial small subunit ribosomal RNA", at positions 53 to 1075 of the family's 1533-position model. The record is from RNAcentral. Lineage: Bacteria; Bacillati; Bacillota; Bacilli; Caryophanales; Bacillaceae.